RNAcentral lists this ribosomal RNA (506 nucleotides) under Salmonella enterica subsp. enterica serovar Infantis. RNAcentral's name for it is "partial 23S ribosomal RNA". It matches the Rfam family "Bacterial large subunit ribosomal RNA", at positions 711 to 1215 of the family's 2925-position model. Lineage: Bacteria; Pseudomonadati; Pseudomonadota; Gammaproteobacteria; Enterobacterales; Enterobacteriaceae. RNAcentral also lists the same sequence under 5 other names. The record is from RNAcentral.
AGACCCGAAACCCGGUGAUCUAGCCAUGGGCAGGUUGAAGGUUGGGUAACACUAACUGGAGGACCGAACCGACUAAUGUUGAAAAAUUAGCGGAUGACCUGUGGCUGGGGGUGAAAGGCCAAUCAAACCGGGAGAUAGCUGGUUCUCCCCGAAAGCUAUUUAGGUAGCGCCUCGUGAAUUCAUCUCCGGGGGUAGAGCACUGUUUCGGCUAGGGGGCCAUCCCGGCUUACCAACCCGAUGCAAACUGCGAAUACCGGAGAAUGUUAUCACGGGAGACACACGGCGGGUGCUAACGUCCGUCGUGAAGAGGGAAACAACCCAGACCGCCAGCUAAGGUCCCAAAGUCAUGGUUAAGUGGGAAACGAUGUGGGAAGGCCCAGACAGCCAGGAUGUUGGCUUAGAAGCAGCCAUCAUUUAAAGAAAGCGUAAUAGCUCACUGGUCGAGUCGGCCUGCGCGGAAGAUGUAACGGGGCUAAACCAUGCACCGAAGCUGCGGCAGCGAACGU